CAAUCGGCCCUAUUCAGAGCCAACAAAUAUGUACUAAAGAGUUUUUG
This is a non-coding RNA of Aedes aegypti (yellow fever mosquito), 47 nucleotides long. The record is from Rfam. Lineage: Eukaryota; Metazoa; Arthropoda; Insecta; Diptera; Culicidae.